This 464-nucleotide ribosomal RNA is filed under the name uncultured bacterium. RNAcentral's name for it is "bacterial SSU rRNA". It matches the Rfam family "Bacterial small subunit ribosomal RNA", at positions 917 to 1382 of the family's 1533-position model. The record is from RNAcentral.
GGGCCCGCACAAGCAGCGGAGCAUGUGGUUUAAUUCGACGCAACGCGAAGAACCUUACCUGGGCUUGACAUGUUCCUGACAGCCGUGGAAACACGGUCUCCCUUCGGGGCAGGAUCACAGGUGGUGCAUGGCUGUCGUCAGCUCGUGUCGUGAGAUGUUGGGUUAAGUCCCGCAACGAGCGCAACCCCCGUCGCAUGUUGCCAGCAUUUAGUUGGGGACUCAUGCGAGACCGCCGGUGACAAACCGGAGGAAGGUGGGGAUGACGUCAAGUCAUCAUGCCCCUUAUGUCCAGGGCUACACACGUGCUACAUUGGCGCGUACAGAGGGUUGCGAUACCGCGAGGUGGAGCGAAUCCCUUAAAGCGCGUCUCGGUUCGGAUUGCAGGCUGAAACCCGCCUGCAUGAAGGCGGAGUUGCUAGUAAUCGCGGAUCAGCACUGCCGCGGUGAAUACGUUCCCGGGCCUU